UCUGGCGGCAACGGCGGAGGGGCCACACCCGUUCCCAUCUCGAACACGGAAGUUAAGCCCUCCAGCGCUGAUGGUACUUGGGCAUGAGCCCUGGGAGAGUAGGUCGCUGCCAGAU
RNAcentral lists this ribosomal RNA (115 nucleotides) under Bacillota bacterium. The record is from RNAcentral. Lineage: Bacteria; Bacillati; Bacillota.